RNAcentral lists this small RNA (135 nucleotides) under Alicyclobacillus acidoterrestris. RNAcentral's name for it is "c-di-AMP sequence". It matches the Rfam family "c-di-AMP riboswitch aptamer (ydaO/yuaA leader)". From Rfam's summary of the family: This family represents a conserved RNA structure found upstream of the ydaO and yuaA genes in Bacillus subtilis and related genes in other bacteria. RNAcentral also lists the same sequence under 1 other name. Lineage: Bacteria; Bacillati; Bacillota; Bacilli; Caryophanales; Alicyclobacillaceae. The record is from RNAcentral.
GUAAUCCAUUCGCUGAGUUCCAAUUUGGGAGCGGAGGAACCAUGUUUUUGGGGUGAGUCGUGCGACGAUGUCGCGCGUAGGGUUUCCUACACCCGAACCCGUCAGCUAACUCCGUAAGCGUCGUAGGUGCAAUAU